This 628-nucleotide ribosomal RNA is filed under the name Gammarus lacustris. RNAcentral's name for it is "partial 16S ribosomal RNA". The stretch from base 340 to 628 matches the Rfam family "Bacterial large subunit ribosomal RNA", at positions 2046 to 2585 of the family's 2925-position model. The record is from RNAcentral. Lineage: Eukaryota; Metazoa; Arthropoda; Malacostraca; Amphipoda; Gammaridae.
AAAGAGUAAGAAACUUUAGUGUGUGUACCUUUUGUAUCAGGGGAAGUUAAAAGUGCAAAUAAUAAAGGAUCGAUUUAAGCAGAGCUUCGUAUAAAAUAGCUCUAGUUAAAUUUAUAGCUUUAAUAGAUUAUGUGGUGAAAAAUGUACGGUGCUUAUGGUAGCUAUUUGUUUUUUUAUUGAAGGGUAAGCUUUCAUUGACUUAAUUGUGUAAAAGGUAUAGGGAAUUAGGCUUGGUAUUUUGACUGUGCUAAGGUAGCAUAAUCAUUUGCUACUUAAUUGGUAGCUGGAAUGAAAGGUUAAACUAGCUUACUCAGUUUGUUGUGUUUUGUAAGAAAUUAAAGUCGAGGUAAGAAUUCUUUGAUCUGCUAGGGGACGAUAAGACCCUAGAAGCUUAACAAUAAGAGUAUUUAUUAGUUAUAAAAAUUAAUUUGUUUUACUGGGGCGGUAGAGGUAUAUGAACUAUUAGCGUAUUGAUAGAUCCUUAAAAUAAAGAUAAAACGGGAAAGUUACUCUAGGGGUAACAGUGCAAUAUUUUUGGAGAGAUCAUAUCGAUAAAAAUGUUUGCAACCUCGAUGUUGAAUUAAGAUGUCUACGUGAAGCAGCAGGUACGUGAGAGGGUUUGUUCAAC